AUGAGAGGCCCGAGGAGGGUGGCGGCCAUCCUGGCCAUCGUCCUGGCGGCGGCGCUCGCUACGGCGGCCCGCGCCCAGCAGUGUGGCUCGCAGGCCGGCGGCGCGACGUGCCCGAACUGCCUCUGCUGCAGCCGCUUCGGUUACUGUGGCAGCACCUCCGACUACUGCGGUGCCGGCUGCCAGAGCCAGUGCAGCGGCUGCGGCCCCACUCCUCCUGGACCCAGCCCCGGCGGGGGCGUGUCGUCCAUCAUCUCUCAGGACAUCUUCCAGCAGUUCCUGCUCCACAGCAACCAGUGCACAGAUGCCGGCGGGUUCUACACGUACGACGCAUUCCUGGCCGCGGCCGCCGCGUUCCCGGCCUUCGGCACCACGGGGAGCACCGAGACGCGGAAGCAGGAGGUGGCAGCCUUCUUCGGGCAGACCUCCCACGAGACCACCGGCGGGUGGGCCACCGCACCCGACGGCCCCUACUCCUGGGGAUAUUGCUACAAGCGGGAGCUGGGCUCACCGCCCGACUACUGCCAGCCAUCGUCGGAGUGGCCGUGCGCACAAGGAAGGCAGUACUACGGCCGCGGCCCCAUCAUGCUCUCCGGGAACUACAACUACGGCCCCGCGGGGCGCGCCAUUGGCGUGGACCUGCUCAACAACCCGGACCUGGUGGCGACCGAUGCCACGGUGUCGUUCGAGACGGCGUUGUGGUUCUGGAUGACGCCGCAAGCGAACAAGCCGUCAUCCCACACCGUGAUCACGGGCCAGUGGACGCCAACGGCUGCCGACAACGCGGCGGGAAGGGUGCCUGGCUAUGGCGUCAUCACCAACAUCAUCAACGGCGGGCUCGAGUGCGGCAGGGGGCAGGACAGCCGUGUUGCCGACCGGAUCGGGUUCUACCAGCGCUACUGCAACAUCCUUGGCGUCGGCUACGGGAGCAACCUCGACUGCUACAACCAGAGGCCCUUCGUUGAAGGGCUUUUGAUCCAGCAAGUAACGCAGUAA
RNAcentral lists this ribosomal RNA (993 nucleotides) under Triticum aestivum (bread wheat). RNAcentral describes it as "partial small subunit ribosomal RNA". The record is from RNAcentral. Lineage: Eukaryota; Viridiplantae; Streptophyta; Magnoliopsida; Poales; Poaceae.